RNAcentral lists this ribosomal RNA (468 nucleotides) under uncultured bacterium. RNAcentral's name for it is "partial 16S ribosomal RNA". It matches the Rfam family "Bacterial small subunit ribosomal RNA", at positions 28 to 507 of the family's 1533-position model. The record is from RNAcentral.
GACGAACGCUGGCGGCGUGCUUAACACAUGCAAGUCGAACGGAAAGGCCCUGCUUUUGUGGGGUGCUCGAGUGGCGAACGGGUGAGUAACACGUGAGUAACCUGCCCUUGACUUUGGGAUAACUUCAGGAAACUGGGGCUAAUACCGGAUAGGAGCUCCUGCUGCAUGGUGGGGGUUGGAAAGUUUCGGCGGUUGGGGAUGGACUCGCGGCUUAUCAGCUUGUUGGUGGGGUAGUGGCUUACCAAGGCUUUGACGGGUAGCCGGCCUGAGAGGGUGACCGGCCACAUUGGGACUGAGACACGGCCCAGACUCCUACGGGAGGCAGCAGUGGGGAAUAUUGCACAAUGGGCGGAAGCCUGAUGCAGCAACGCCGCGUGCGGGAUGACGGCCUUCGGGUUGUAAACCGCUUUCGCCUGUGACGAAGCGCGAGUGACGGUAAUGGGUAAAGAAGCACCGGCUAACUACGUG